Molecule: unclassified non-coding RNA, 158 nt
Filed under: uncultured Ascomycota
Lineage: Eukaryota; Fungi; Ascomycota
Description: sequence contains ITS2
Source: RNAcentral
ACAACCAAUCAAGCCUGGCUUGCAGUUGAAUCGGCCCCCUUAACCAGGGGCGGUUUGAAAGACAACGGCAGGGUGAGAAGAACCCCGAAUGCAACGAGCUUUUCACAGCACGCAUUCUAGGAGACCGAUCACCCUUGUCUUUGACCAACUUCUAUCAA